AUGCUACCAUUCCAUGAUGCAAGUUUUUUUUUCUCUUUUCUUAGCUCAGUUGCAGUUGUACCACCACUUCUUUUAUAUCUGAGCUCAGUGUGGUGUAAAGAAUUGGAAGAGUUUCUAGGAAUCCCAUUACCUGGCAGGAAGCAAAAAACUUCAUUGUCUGUAAAAUGGAAGAGGAGGAGAGCAGCAGAGGGAAGAGCCCUGGCUGGAAUUUCCUGUGUUGUUCUGCAUAUGCAGGUGAGGCCUGGCAGGAUGGGAUGUUGUGGGUCUGUAAAUAUUGCUCAGUAUCUGCACCUCAGCUCUGCAGGAAACUUCAGUGUUGUGGGAAGCUGCUUGGCAGAUCAUGACCACUUCUAUGUCAUAUUUGGGGUUUCUUCUGGUUUUUUCUACAACAAUUGGAUUAUAAGAAAAUUAUGCUCUGUCAAAAUAGUCUUACAUUAGGGAAAGGCUGUUUGAUGUGCUGAAUGCCAGCUUUGUGUUGGUUUGUGUGUCACAAGCCAUCAAGAAACGUGAUGAAAUAGUGAUUCAAUCUAAAAUGCUGCCAGCCACAAGGAUGCCAGCAUCCUGUCUCAGAUAGGUUUGGAGGCUCUCUGUCCAUCUUUGUAAGUCUUGAGAAGUCCAGGUGACACAACUCAAUGUGCUGUAACAAUACCACAAACCAGGGAUAUAUUUUAGGCAGAUUCCUCUGUUUGUGUACAAUUGGGUCAAAAACCUCACAUGCAACCAAUUGUCA
RNAcentral lists this long non-coding RNA (730 nucleotides) under Taeniopygia guttata (zebra finch). Its description in RNAcentral is "lncRNA (ENSTGUG00000022201.1)". The record is from RNAcentral. Lineage: Eukaryota; Metazoa; Chordata; Aves; Passeriformes; Estrildidae.